Pelobates cultripes (western spadefoot toad) is the source of this 157-nucleotide non-coding RNA. Lineage: Eukaryota; Metazoa; Chordata; Amphibia; Anura; Pelobatidae. The record is from the annotation of a GenBank genome assembly.
GCAGACACAUUCUAGUCAAUCGGCAACAGACCCUCCCUCCCAGACCCUCCCACCUCCUGGACAGCAUCCAUUUUGAAGCUGCAUUCUUAGUGAGCUGUCCAGGAGGUGGGAGGGUCUGGGAGGGAGGGUCUGCUGCUGAUUGGCUGGAAUGUGUCUG